GAAUAUUGCGCAAUGGGCGAAAGCCUGACGCAGCGACGCCGCGUGGGUGAUGAAGGCCUUCGGGUCGUAAAGCCCUGUCAGGAGGGACGAAACCUCGGCAGGUUAAUAUCCUGUCGACUUGACGGUACCUCCAAAGGAAGCACCGGCUAACUCCGUGCCAGCCGUCGCGGUAAUACGGAGGGGGCGAGCGUUGUUCGGAAUUACUGGGCGUAAAGCGCGUGUAGGCGGCCUUGUAAGUCUGGUGUGAAAGCCCGGGGCUCACCCCCGGAAGUGCAUUGGAUACUGCAAGGCUCGAGUACCGGAGAGGAGGGUGGAAUUCCUGGUGUAGCGGUGAAAUGCGUAGAUAUCAGGAGGAACACCGGUGGCGAAGGCGGCCCUCUGGACGGAUACUGACGCUGAGACGCGAAAGCGUGGGGAGCAAACAGG
RNAcentral lists this ribosomal RNA (426 nucleotides) under uncultured bacterium. Its description in RNAcentral is "bacterial SSU rRNA". It matches the Rfam family "Bacterial small subunit ribosomal RNA", at positions 359 to 776 of the family's 1533-position model. The record is from RNAcentral.